GAUGAACGCUAGCGGCAGGCCUAAUACAUGCAAGUCGAACGGUAACAUGAGUAGCAAUACUUGAUGACGAGUGGCGCACGGGUGCGUAACGCGUAUGCAAUCUACCUUUAACCGGUGAAUAGCCCGAAGAAAUUCGGAUUAAUACACCAUAGUAUGUUUGAGUGGCAUCACUUAAACAUUAAAACUCCGGUGGUUAAAGAUGAGCAUGCGUGACAUUAGCUAGUUGGUGAGGUAAUGGCUCACCAAGGCUACGAUGCCUAGGGGAUCUGAGAGGAUUAACCCCCACACUGGUACUGAGACACGGACCAGACUCCUACGGGAGGCAGCAGUAAGGAAUAUUGGACAAUGGUCGCAAGACUGAUCCAGCCAU
This 370-nucleotide ribosomal RNA is filed under the name uncultured bacterium. Its description in RNAcentral is "bacterial SSU rRNA". It matches the Rfam family "Bacterial small subunit ribosomal RNA", at positions 28 to 395 of the family's 1533-position model. The record is from RNAcentral.